GAUCAUGGCCAGGAUGAACGCUAGCUACAGGCUUAACACAUGCAAGUCGAGGGGCAGCAUUUCAGUUUGCUUGCAAACUGGAGAUGGCGACCGGCGCACGGGUGAGUAACACGUAUCCAACCUGCCGAUAACUCGGGGAUAGCCUUUCGAAAGAAAGAUUAAUACCCGAUAGUAUAAUUAGACCGCAUGGUCUUAUUAUUAAAGAAUUUCGGUUAUCGAUGGGGAUGCGUUCCAUUAGGCAGUUGG
This 246-nucleotide ribosomal RNA is filed under the name uncultured bacterium. RNAcentral describes it as "partial 16S ribosomal RNA". It matches the Rfam family "Bacterial small subunit ribosomal RNA", at positions 15 to 252 of the family's 1533-position model. The record is from RNAcentral.